UACGGGGGGGGCAAGCGUUGUUCGGAAUUACUGGGCGUAAAGGGUUCGUAGGUGGCUUGCUAAGUCAGACGUGAAAUCCCUCAGCUUAACUGGGGAACUGCGUCUGAUACUGGCGAGCUUGAGUGCAGGAGAGGAACGCGGAAUUCCAGGUGUAGCGGUGAAAUGCGUAGAUAUCAGGAGGAACACCUAUGGCGAAGGCAGCUCGCUGGGCCGAUACUGACGCUGAGGAGCGAAAGCGUGGGGAGCGAACAGG
Molecule: ribosomal RNA, 253 nt
Filed under: uncultured bacterium
Lineage: Bacteria
Description: partial 16S ribosomal RNA
Rfam family: Bacterial small subunit ribosomal RNA
Source: RNAcentral